UCUGUUUAGGGUUUUAAAACCCUAAUGCUGACUGAAGGAAAAGAGUUCAGUUUAGGGUUUAAAACCCUAAUGCAGACUAAACGAAAAAGUUCAGUUUAGGGUUUAAAACCCUAAUGCUGACUGAAUUGAAAAAGUUCAGUUUAGAGUUUAAAACCCUAAUGCUGACUAAAGGAAAAGAGUUUAGUUUAGGGUUUAAAACCCUAAUGCUGACUAAAUGGAAAAGAGUUCAGUUUAGGGUUUAAAACCCUAAUGCUGACUGAGUGGAAAAAGUUCAGUUUAGGGUUUAAAACCCUAAUGCUGACUAAAUGGAAAAGUUCAGUUUAGAGUUUAAAACUCUAAUGCUGACUAAAUGGAAAAGAGUUCAGUUUAGGGUUUAAAACCCUAAUGCUGACUGAGUGGAAAAGUUCAGUUUAGGGUUUAAAACCCUAAUGCUGACUGAAUGGAAAAGAGUUCAGUUUAGGGUUUAAAACCCUAAUGCUGACUAAAGGAAAAAGUUCAGCUUAGGGUUUAAAACCCUAAUGCUGACUGAAGGAAAAGAUCAGUUUAGGGUUUAAAACCCUAAUGCUGACUGAAUGGAAAAGAGUUCAGUUUAGGGUUUAAAGCCCUAAUGCUGACUGAAUGGAAAAGAGUUCAGUUAAGGGUUUAAAACCCUAAUGCUGACUAAAGGGAAGAGUUCAGUUUAGGGUUUAAAACUCUAAUGCUGACUAAAUGGAAAAGUUCAGUUUAGGGUUUAAAACCCUAAUGCUGACUGAAUGGGAAAAAGUUCAGUUUAGGGUUUAAAACCCUAAUGCUGACUGAAUGGGAAAAAGUUCAGUUUUUAGGGUUUAAAACCCUAUGCUGACUAAAUGGAAAGAGUUCAGUUUAGGGUUUAAAACCCUAAUGCUGACUAAAGGAAAAGAGUUCAGUUUAGGGUUUAAAGCCCUAAUGCUGACUAAAGGAAAAAGUUUAGUUUAGUAUUUAAAACCCUAAUGCUGACUAAAGGAAAAAGUUCAAUUUAGGAUUUAAAACUCUAAUGCUGACUAAAGGAAAGAGUUCAGUUUAGAGUUUAAAACCCUUAUGCUGACUGAAUGGAAAAGAGUUCAGUUUAGUGUUUUAAAACCCUCAUGCUGACUAAAGGAAAAGUUCAGUUUAGGAUUUAAAACCCUAAUGCUGACUAAAGGAAAAAGUUCAGUUUAGGGUUUAAAACUCUAAUGCUGACUAAAGGAAAGAGUUCAGUUUAGGGUUUAAAACCCUAAUGCUGACUGAAUGGAAAAGAGUUCAGUUUAGGGUUUUAAAACCCUAAUGCUGACUAAAGGGAAAGUUCAGUUUAGGGUUUAAAACCCUAAUACUGACUGGCUGGAAAAAUUCAGUUUAGGAUUUUAAAACCCUAAUGCUGACUGAAGGAAAAGUUCAGUUUAGGGUUUAAAACCCUAAUGCUGACUAAAGGAAAGAGUUCAGUUUAGGGUUUUAAAACCCUAAUCCUGAUUAAACGGAAAAGUUCAGUUUAGGGUUUAAAACCCUAACCCUGAUUAAAGGAAAAAGUUCAGUUUAGGGUUUAAAACCCUAAUCCUGAUUAAAGGGAAAAGUUCAGUUUAGGGUUUAAAACCCUAAUCCUGAUUAAAGGGAAAAGUUCAGUUUAGGGUUUUAAAACCCUAAUGCUGACUAAAGGGAAGAGUUCAGUUUAGGGUUUAAAACCCUAAUCCUGAUUAAAGGGAAAAGUUCAGUUUAGGGUUUAAAACCCUAAUGCUGACUAAAGGGAAAAGUUCAGUUUAGGGUUUAAAACCCUAAUGCUGACUAAAGGGAAAAGUUCAGUUUAGGGUUUAAAACCCUAAUGCUGACUAAAGGGAAAAGUUCAGUUUAGGGUUUAAAACCCUAAUCCUGAUUAAAGGAAAAAGUUCAGUUUAGGGUUAAAACCCUAAUGCUGACUAAAGGGAAAAGUUCAGUUUAGGGUUUAAACCCUAAUGCUGACUAAAGGGAAAAGUUCAGUUUAGGGUUUAAAACCCUAAUGAUGACUAAAUGGAAGAGUUCAGCUUAGGGUUUAAAACCCUAAUGCUGAUUAAAGGAAAGAGUUCAGUUUAGGGUUUAAAACGCUAAUGCUGACUAAAGGGAAAAGUUCAGUUUAGGGUUUAAAACCCUAAUGCUGACUAAAGGGAAAAGUUCAGUUUAGGGUUUAAAACUUUAAUGCUGACUAAAGGGAAGAGUUCAGUUUAAGGUUUAAAACCCUAAUGCUGACUAAAAGGAAAAGUUCAGUUUAGGGUUUAAAACCCUAAUGCUGACUAAAGGGAAAAGUUCAGUUUAGGGUUUAAAACCCUAAUCCUGAUUAAAGGGAAAAGUUCAGUUUAGGGUUUAAAACCCUAAUGCUGACUAAAGGGAAGAGUUCAGUUUAAGGUUUAAAACCCUAAUGCUGACUAAAGGAAAGAGUUCAGUUCAAGGUUUAAAACCCUAAUGCUGACUAAAGGGAAAAGUUCAGUUUAGGGUUUAAAACCCUAAUGAUGACUAAAGGGAAGAGUUCAGCUUAGGGUUUAAAACCCUAAUGCUGAUUAAAGGAAAGAGUUCAGUUUAGGGUUUAAAACGCUAAUGCUGACUAAAGGGAAAAGUUCAGUUUAGGGUUUAAAAUCUUAAUGCUGACUAAAGGGAAAAGUUCAGUUUAGGGUUUAAAACCCUAAUGCUGACUAAAGGGAAAAGUUCAGUUUAGGGUUUAAAACCCUAAUGCUGACUAAAGGGAAAAGUUCAGUUUAGGGUUUAAAACUUUAAUGCUGACUAAAGGGAAGAGUUCAGUUUAAGGUUUAAAACCCUAAUGCUGACUAAAGGGAAAAGUUCAGUUUAGGGUUUAAAACCUUAAUGCUGACUAAAGGGAAAAGUUCACUUUAGGGUUUAAAACCCUAAUGCUGACUAAAGGGAAAAAGUUUAGCUUAGGGUUUAAAACCCUAAUGCUGACUAAAGGGAAAAGUUCAGUUUAGGGUUUAAAACCCUAAUGCUGACUAAAGGGAAGAGUUCAGUUUAAGGUUUAAAACCCCAAUGCUGACUAAAGGGA
This 3013-nucleotide long non-coding RNA is filed under the name Nicotiana tabacum (common tobacco). RNAcentral's name for it is "long non-coding RNA (NTAB_LNC001437)". Lineage: Eukaryota; Viridiplantae; Streptophyta; Magnoliopsida; Solanales; Solanaceae. The record is from RNAcentral.